AUUGAACGCUGGCGGCAUGCCUUACACAUGCAAGUCGAACGGCAGCACGGGAGCAAUCCUGGUGGCGAGUGGCGAACGGGUGAGUAAUAUAUCGGAACGUGCCCAGUCGUGGGGGAUAACGCAGCGAAAGCUGUGCUAAUACCGCAUACGAUCUAUGGAUGAAAGCGGGGGACCGCAAGGCCUCGCGCGAUUGGAGCGGCCGAUAUCAGAUUAGCUAGUUGGUGGGGUAAAGGCCCACCAAGGCGACGAUCUGUAGCUGGUCUGAGAGGACGACCAGCCACACUGGAACUGAGACACGGUCCAGACUCCUACGGGAGGCAGCAGUGGGGAAUUUUGGACAAUGGGCGCAAGCCUGAUCCAGCAAUGCCGCGUGCAGGAUGAAGGCCUUCGGGUUGUAAACUGCUUUUGUACGGAGCGAAAAGGCUCUCUCUAAUACAGGGGGCUCAUGACGGUACCGUAAGAAUAAGCACCGGCUAACUACGUGCCAGCAGCCGCCGUAA
This 500-nucleotide ribosomal RNA is filed under the name uncultured bacterium. RNAcentral describes it as "partial 16S ribosomal RNA". It matches the Rfam family "Bacterial small subunit ribosomal RNA", at positions 30 to 523 of the family's 1533-position model. The record is from RNAcentral.